UAAUACGUAGGUGACAAGCGUUGUCCGGAUUUACUGGGCGUAAAGAGCGCGCAGGCGGUCGUUCAAGUCGAGUGUGAAAGCCCCCGGCUCAACUGGGGAGGGUCACUCGAUACUGAUCGACUCGAAGGCAGGAGAGGGUAGUGGAAUUCCCGGUGUAGUGGUGAAAUGCGUAGAUAUCGGGAGGAACACCAGUGGCGAAGGCGACUACCUGGCCUGUUCUUGACGCUGAGGCGCGAAAGCUAGGGGAGCAAACGGGAUUAGAUACCCCGGUAGUCCUGGCCCUAAACGAUGAAUGCUUGGUGUGGCGGGUAUCGAUCCCUGCCGUGCCGAAGCUAACGCAUUAAGCAUUCCGCCUGGGGAGUACGGUCGCAAGGCUG
RNAcentral lists this ribosomal RNA (377 nucleotides) under uncultured bacterium. Its description in RNAcentral is "bacterial SSU rRNA". It matches the Rfam family "Bacterial small subunit ribosomal RNA", at positions 521 to 896 of the family's 1533-position model. The record is from RNAcentral.